AUGCAACCUGAGCUCAGUCGUGAUUACCCGCCGAACUUAAGCAUAUCAUUCAGCGGAGGAAAAGAAACUAACUAG
Molecule: ribosomal RNA, 75 nt
Filed under: Heterorhabditis megidis
Lineage: Eukaryota; Metazoa; Nematoda; Chromadorea; Rhabditida; Heterorhabditidae
Description: 28S ribosomal RNA
Rfam family: Eukaryotic large subunit ribosomal RNA
Source: RNAcentral